CCCUGUGGGAAGCAGGAGGGACCACCCUCCAAGGCUAAAUACUACCUAGUGACCGAUAGCGUAUAGUACCGUGAGGGAAAGGUGAAAAGAACCCCGGGAGGGGAGUGAAAUAGAACCUGAAACCCUGCACUUACAAGCUGUGGAAGCACAUUUCUUGUGUGACCGCGUACUUUUUGUAGAACGGGCCAACGAGUUACGUUAAGUAGCAAGGUUAAGCACUUAAGGUGCGGAGCCGUAGCGAAAGCGAGUUUUAACUGAGCGUUCAGUUACUUGACGUAGACCCGAAACCGGGCGACCUACCCAUGAGCAGGAUGAAGCGAAAGUAAAAUUUCGUGG
Molecule: ribosomal RNA, 336 nt
Filed under: Clostridioides difficile
Lineage: Bacteria; Bacillati; Bacillota; Clostridia; Peptostreptococcales; Peptostreptococcaceae
Description: partial 23S ribosomal RNA
Rfam family: Bacterial large subunit ribosomal RNA
Source: RNAcentral